This 253-nucleotide ribosomal RNA is filed under the name uncultured bacterium. RNAcentral's name for it is "partial 16S ribosomal RNA". It matches the Rfam family "Bacterial small subunit ribosomal RNA", at positions 524 to 776 of the family's 1533-position model. The record is from RNAcentral.
UACGGAGGGUGCAAGCGUUAAUCAGAAUUACUGGGCGUAAAGAGCGCGUAGGUGGUUUUUUAAGUCAGAUGUGAAAUCCCUAGGCUUAACCUAGGAACUGCAUUUGAAACUGGAAAACUAGAGUAUCGUAGAGGGAGGUAGAAUUCUAGGUGUAGCGGUGAAAUGCGUAGAUAUCUGGAGGAAUACCUGUGGCGAAAGCGGCCUCCUAAACGAAUACUGACACUGAGGUGCGAAAGCGUGGGGAGCAAACAGG